RNAcentral lists this ribosomal RNA (706 nucleotides) under uncultured bacterium. Its description in RNAcentral is "bacterial SSU rRNA". It matches the Rfam family "Bacterial small subunit ribosomal RNA", at positions 56 to 762 of the family's 1533-position model. The record is from RNAcentral.
UGCAGUCGAACGGACGCUCGGAGCUUGCUCUGAGUUGUUAGUGGCGAACGGGUGAGUAACACGUGAGUAACCUGCCCUCUUCUUUGGGAUAACUGCUCGAAAGAGUAGCUAAUACUGGAUAUUCUGCUGUCAUCGCAUGGUGGUGGUUUGAAAGGGUUUCUGGUGGGGGAUGGGCUCGCGGCUUAUCAGCUUGUUGGUGGGGUAAUGGCUUACCAAGGCUUUGACGGGUAUCCGGCCUGAGAGGGUGACCGGACACAUUGGGACUGAGAUACGGCCCAGACUCCUACGGGAGGCAGCAGUGGGGAAUUUUGCACAAUGGGCGAAAGCCUGAUGCAGCGACGCCGCGUGAGGGAUGAAGGCCUUCGGGUUGUAAACCUUUUUCGCUCUUGACCAAGUGCCCAGUUUGCUGGGUGUGAGGGUAUGGGGUAAAGAAGCGCCGGCUAACUACGUGCCAGCAGCCGCGGUAAUACGUAGGGCGCGAGCGUUGUCCGGAAUUAUUGGGCGUAAAGGGCUUGUAGGCGGUUCGUCGCGUCUGCCGUGAAAUUCUCUGGCUUAACUGGGGAAGUGCGGUGGGUACGGGCAGGCUUGAGUGUGGUAGGGGAGAUUGGAAUUCCUGGUGUAGCGGUGGAAUGCGCAGAUAUCAGGAAGAACACCGGUGGCGAAGGCGGAUCUCUGGGCCAUUACUGACGCUGAGGAGCGAAAGCGU